AUUGUAGUGAUCACACGGCCGGCAGCCUGGAGCCCCUCACCAGGUGCCCUGAGCUGGAGCGUCUCACCCUGUCCGGCGGCGUCCCUGACACCGUGAGCCUGGAGCCCCUCACCAGGUGCCCUAGGCUGCGGUAUCUCACCCUGUCCGGCGGCGUCCCUGACACCGUGAGCCUGGAGCCCCUCACCAGGUGCCCUGAGCUGCACAGUCUCACUCUGUCCGGCGGCGUCCCUGACUCCGUGCUGGACAGUCUCAGCGGCUGCCCCGGGCUGGAGGACCUUACACUGGGGGACCUCCAGCGGCCGGCAGAGACGGCCUUCACAGCAGCAGCGGUCACCAGACUGGUGAAGUCGUGUCGGAAGCUGUGGUGGCUGCGCCUUCACUGCACGGCAGACACCGGCCGGGCCGUGCUGACCGCCCUGAAGGAGGCGGACCUGGGCCGGGACAGUGAUGGCCGGCCCCGUACCAUCUGGCUCAAUGUCCCCGGGGAGCUGUACGAUCAGCUGAAGAGCCAGGGAGGCGGUCGGGUCAUAGUGUGUCCGUGGUGGGAUUGAUGCGCUGCACUACCGACCGUGCAGUGAUGAGCUGACUGCAGAGAGGCCGAGCCAGUCGGCCGGGGCCGCCAGCUGACUGCUGCCGUGUGUGCUGCACCAGCCGGCACUGAGAGCGGCGCCGGUCAGCCGGCACACGGCCCCCGUGUCCGCUCUAGUGUAGUCAUGUAGUUGUAGUAGUAGUAGUGUAGGUGUAGUAGAAGCACACGGAUGUGAUGUAGUGGGUUAUUACCGGGUGGGUAUUGUGGGUAAUUGGCUGGAACGAUGUGAUCUAGUGGGUAAUUACCGGGCGGAUAUUGUGGGUAGUUGGCUGGAAGGAUGUGACCUGGUGGGUAAUUACCGGGCGAGUAUUGUGGGUAAUUGGACAGUGAAAAGUGAUGUAGUGGGUAAAUACCGGGCGGGUACUGUGGGUAAUUGGACGGAGGUAUGUGAUGUAGUGGGUAAUUACCGGGCGGGUAUUGUGGGUAAUUGGACAGUGAAAAGUGAUGUGCUGGAGAGACUACCGAUCGUGGCAUUACGCUAUUCUGUAUGUAGAACCCACGUCUCUGGCCGUCCGACACGGUUCACCGCGCCUGGUCCCGGCGGCACGGCCGGCCUCGGUCACGUGACCGUCCCCCGGUGGAGUCGGACGGCUCGGUCACGUGACCGCUCCCCCCGGGUCUGGCUGCACCUCGGCUCGGCGGUGCUGAGCGCCGUGCUGAGCGUGUUGUGACACGUCCCACACGGACAGCUCUACUCGACUACUGGCUAGCUGCCGUCCGAGCUGGCAGUAUACACGCGGUGCCAGUUCAGACGGCGGCCGGCCGCGCCGCGCCCGCCCGCUCCGGUCCCGGCCGGCGGCCGUCACCCGGCCCGGGGCGGGGACCGGUCCGUCAGCUGACCAUUGGUCAGUCAGCUGAUUGGUCCGUCAGCUGGUUGGUCCGUCAGCUGAUUGGUCCGUCAGCUGAUUGGUCCGUCAGCUGAUUGGUCCGUCAGCUGAUUGGUCCGUCAGCCGCCCCGCUCUCCACCGGCGGAGCGCGGCGCCCGCCGAGACUCGAGACGUCAAACACAUUGUCCACUAUAUACACGAGAGGAGACGCUUCAGCUGUACCAUCUGUAGCCUAGGGCAAUUAGUUACCGGGCGAGUAUUGUGGGUAAUUGGAGGAAGUGAUGCGACGUAGUGGGUAAUUACCAGUCAGGUAUUAUGGAUAAUGUAACCCUGGGUAUGAUAUAGCCGGCUAUCCAACGGUCGAAUAUAGUCAGCUGGAUGCUACUGAAUUGUGUAGAGCUCUGACGGCACCGGUCAUAACGAGUGUCCUCGCGUCUGUCCGACUCGGUUCACGGAAGCACGCCGUCACGGCCCGGGUGUGCGCGCCGCCAUGUUUUGUGUCCUCUGCUUCGUACAGGGGGUAAUUGGGCUACCGACCGAUUGGGAGUCGGAGUCGGAGUCCGUGUCGAUCAAGCUGCCUUGACUCCGACUCCGGAACGGCUUUUUAGAUUUUAGUUAUCACUUGGCCAUGCUACUGAUAAUCGGCUGCGCUUUGACUAAUACAUUUUACACAUG
Amphibalanus amphitrite is the source of this 2091-nucleotide long non-coding RNA. RefSeq lists it as uncharacterized. The record is from RefSeq and is a predicted model, not a curated record. The transcript has 3 exons. Lineage: Eukaryota; Metazoa; Arthropoda; Thecostraca; Balanomorpha; Balanidae.